RNAcentral lists this long non-coding RNA (965 nucleotides) under Sarcophilus harrisii (Tasmanian devil). RNAcentral describes it as "lncRNA (ENSSHAG00000024351.1)". Lineage: Eukaryota; Metazoa; Chordata; Mammalia; Dasyuromorphia; Dasyuridae. The record is from RNAcentral.
ACCAUGACGCGCUACUCCACGGCGACCAUCUUUAUUCCUGGUGGCCGCUAUCUGAGGCCUGCGACGGUACUUCUACUUGAGUUGCUGUGCGAGCCGCCGCCGCAGCUCCGACUCUACGUCAUCAGGAGAGGCGGCGCUCGCUGCAAAAGACUAAGGGCGAAAGGGAGAGGGAAGCUGGUGCAGGGGGACGCCCCGGAAGUGGGAGUUCCGCUUGGCUGAGGGGUGGGGCCAAAAGUCUGUUUACGACCGGCUGGCUGUUUUUCGCAGGCUCGGUUUUGAUCUGGCGCAUGCGUACUUACAGCUUCCCAAGGACCAACUCCGGAGGGGAGGCGGGCCGUUGCUAUGGUGAUGGAUGCUCUCGAAAUUCCCUGGGGAUCCGCGUGCUGAUCUCGGAUGCUGCUCGUGGGCUGGACACUCAAGGAGGGAAUGGGCACAGAAAACCAAGAUACUACCAGUUCUGAGAAGGAGGAACACUUCCAUCAAGAUAUAUUCCCAGUGAAAAAGCAGUGCCAAGGCAAUAGUAUCCAAGUCUUCAACAUAACUUUUCCAUGCAGAGGAUGGAUGUUUCAUGGAGAAAGCACAAAAGGAAAUCUUAAAUUGAGGUCUAGAGGCUUACAUCAGUCGGGUGGUACAGUGGAGAGAAUGCUGGACUUGAAAUCAAGAAGACCUGGAUUCAGAUCCCACCUUUGAUAGAUGAUCCCUGGUAGGCUGACUGGUAGUACCAUCCUCCACAGGGUUUGGUGAGGUUCAGAGAAGAUCUCACAUGUCAAAAGGAAACCAUCAGAGAGAUAUCAGCUCUUUACUCCGAGGUGCUAGAAGGCCAUUUGGGCCAAUUUCGCUGAAAAGAAUAAGCUCGCUGUAUCCUGCUCACUCGUGAUCCUCAAUGCUUAGAGAUAAGGGAUGUGUGUGGGGGGAAUUCACAGCCUCUAUUUCCUUUCAAGAACAGCCUCUACUUUCAAGGUGCU